This 1392-nucleotide ribosomal RNA is filed under the name uncultured bacterium. RNAcentral describes it as "16S ribosomal RNA". It matches the Rfam family "Bacterial small subunit ribosomal RNA". The record is from RNAcentral.
UUCGCCCUUAGAGUUUGAUCCUGGCUCAGGACGAACGCUGGCGGCGUGCCUAACACAUGCAAGUCGAACGGAGUUGAAAAGAGCUUGCUUUUUUCAACUCAGUGGCGGACGGGUGAGUAACGCGUGGGUGACCUGCCCCAUACCGGGGGAUAACAGCUGGAAACGGCUGCUAAUACCGCAUAAGCGCACAGAGCUGCAUGGCUCGGUGUGAAAAACUCCGGUGGUAUGGGAUGGGCCCGCGUCUGAUUAGGCAGUUGGCGGGGUGACGGCCCACCAAGCCGACGAUCGGUAGCCGACCUGAGAGGGUGAUCGGCCACAUUGGGACUGAGACACGGCCCAAACUCCUACGGGAGGCAGCAGUGGGGAAUAUUGGGCAAUGGAGGAAACUCUGACCCAGCAACGCCGCGUGGAGGAAGAAGGUUUUCGGAUCGUAAACUCCUGUCCUUGGAGACGAGUAGAAGACGGUAUCCAAGGAGGAAGCCCCGGCUAACUACGUGCCAGCAGCCGCGGUAAUACGUAGGGGGCAAGCGUUGUCCGGAAUAAUUGGGCGUAAAGGGCGCGUAGGCGGCUCGGUAAGUCUGGAGUGAAAGUCCUGCUUUUAAGGUGGGAAUUGCUUUGGAUACUGUCGGGCUUGAGUGCAGGAGAGGUUAGUGGAAUUCCCAGUGUAGCGGUGAAAUGCGUAGAGAUUGGGAGGAACACCAGUGGCGAAGGCGACUAACUGGACUGUAACUGACGCUGAGGCGCGAAAGUGUGGGGAGCAAACAGGAUUAGAUACCCUGGUAGUCCACACUGUAAACGAUGAAUGCUAGGUGUAGGGGGUAUUAGACUCCUUCUGAGACACAGUUAACACAAUAAGCAUUCCGCCUGGGGAGUUCGCCAGCAAGGUUACAAAUCAAAGGAAAUGAAGGGGGCCCGCACAAGCAGCGGAGCAUGUGGUGUAAUUAGACGCUACGCGAAGAACCUUACCAGCUCUUGACAUCCACUCAUAACUUACAGAGAGUGUAAUGUGUGCUUGCAAAAAGUGAGACAGGUGGUGCAUGGUUGUAGUCAGCUCGUGUCGUGAGAUAGUGGGAUAAGUCCCGCAACGAGUGCAACCCUUAUUUUCAGUUACUAACGUGUAGAGGUGAGGACUGUGAAGAGACUGCCGGGGACAACUCGGAGGAAGGUGGGGAAGACGUCAAAUCAUCAUGCCCCUUAUGUCGUGGGCUACACACGUGCUACAAUGGCCACGACAGAGAGAAGCGAAAUCGCAAGGAAGAGCGGAACUCAAAAAAGUGGUCCCAGUUCGGAUUGUGGGCUGCAACCCGCCCACAUGAAGUCGGAGUUGCUAGUAAUCGCGGAUCAGCAUGCCGCGGUGAAUACGUUCCCGGGCCUUGCACACACCGCCCGUCA